This 292-nucleotide unclassified non-coding RNA is filed under the name uncultured fungus. RNAcentral describes it as "sequence contains ITS2". Lineage: Eukaryota; Fungi. The record is from RNAcentral.
AACGCACCUUGCGCUCCCUGGUAUUCCGGAGAGCAUGCCUGUUUGAGUGUCAUGUGAACAUCUCAUGCCCCUUGAGGGCAUGGAGGACUUGGACGCUGCUGUUGUUUUGGCUCGUCUUGAAAUGCAUUAGCCUGUGCCUCUGAGCCGGACUCUGGUGUGAUAAGCAUCUACGCCGCAGCACCGCGCUUGGUUGGUCACUUUUGUGCAGGCUCACAGUCGUCGGCUGACCCCUGACAUUGUAUUUAUUUAACGCUCUGGCCUCAAAUCAGGUAGGACUACCCGCUGAACUUAA